Molecule: small RNA, 1210 nt
Filed under: Cryptococcus neoformans H99
Lineage: Eukaryota; Fungi; Basidiomycota; Tremellomycetes; Tremellales; Cryptococcaceae
Description: Cryptococcus neoformans var. grubii H99 hypothetical RNA
Source: RNAcentral
UCUUGCCAACUUUCCAGUGCUAUGUGUACUGGAAUACAUACCAUUCCGGUAUACGCAUAAGGAUUUCUGGCUGUCAUACCGUAGGGGUAAGGCAUGCCCAUACCCAUUCCGUACAUACUCGCCCCAAGACCGUAGCCUACUUUAGUCAGCUCUGCCGUUGGCAGGACUAUAAAAGGUGGGGAGAAGACCAACCUAGACCUCCCAUACCCAUCAUAUAAGGGAUCCCCAGCCCACCUGCAUAAUAGGGACUCAUCAUCUUUAUACAUUUACACAUCAGCCAAUUUUUUUUGGCCAUAAUAGAUCAAACGCACUGUUCCGUAUCCGUACAUGGUUUGUAAAGUAUGCGCCCACACCCUGAUCUGUUAGCCAGAGGCUUCAAGCGACAAAAGUUUAUAAGUGGGUAUUGCUUUGCUUUAAAGUGUGACUAGAUAUGAAGAAGAAACAUUGCCAUCUAAGUGAUGGCGAAAGAUCACGUUGCACGGCUUUUUAUUGUCUGCUACGCGCUGCAAAGGCAGCAAGCGGCAUACCCCUUGAAAAACAAAGGAAAAGAAGUAGAUUAUAAGAUCUAAAGUUGACAAAGGAGCAAUCAGUUUGACAGUCGUUGCAAUUGAGUCAAUCAGUGAGUGUCAGUAGGUAAAUGGGGGAUUAUUGUUGUGAAUGGAAAUCGAGGAAGAAUAAUGAAAAAUGGAGACUUGCGGAAAUGUCUUCUCGAGAUGAUGAAGAAUGGAGACAGUACAAAAGAUGAGCAAGAGUUCGCAAUGCUUCUGCGUGUGCUGCCACACCACGAACACGCCUAAUCUGCCCUGGUCCUUCCGAAUGCAUCUGGCAUUUUCUAGUACCUAUGGACUGUUAUUUCCAGAAGGCCAAACCAUUGAUCGCCAUCGGUAAAUGAACAUCACCAACGUCCACUAUUAGCUUUGCGCUCAAGUCAGCAAAGCAGAUCAUGAAGUCUUGGUAUCUUCUAUCUCCAACAUUUUCGAUUCCAAGAACUUGGUGGCUUUCGUUCUGAAUUAUUCACGGUCCCAUGUCUAUUGAAGAUUACAAUAUGCCUAUCAUGGAGUUACCAAAAUGUAUACGAAAUAGCUUGACUUACUGUCAACAAAUGAUGAUCUGGUUCCCUUAAGUCCUGAGCAUCCAAUACAUCUUCGAGAUCUUCGAGCUCAUUUUGGUGCGCCAUUUGGGGGCAUCGUGAGGUGACAGAAGUACAGUA